This 466-nucleotide ribosomal RNA is filed under the name Vreelandella stevensii. RNAcentral describes it as "partial 16S ribosomal RNA". It matches the Rfam family "Bacterial small subunit ribosomal RNA", at positions 338 to 795 of the family's 1533-position model. The record is from RNAcentral. Lineage: Bacteria; Pseudomonadati; Pseudomonadota; Gammaproteobacteria; Oceanospirillales; Halomonadaceae.
CCUACGGGGGGCUGCAGUGGGGAAUAUUGGACAAUGGGGGGGAACCCUGAUCCAGCCAUGCCGCGUGUGUGAAGAAGGCCCUCGGGUUGUAAAGCACUUUCAGUGAGGAAGAACGCCUGGUGGUUAAUACCCAUCAGGAAAGACAUCACUCACAGAAGAAGCACCGGCUAACUCCGUGCCAGCAGCCGCGGUAAUACGGAGGGUGCGAGCGUUAAUCGGAAUUACUGGGCGUAAAGCGCGCGUAGGUGGCUUGAUAAGCCGGUUGUGAAAGCCCCGGGCUCAACCUGGGAACGGCAUCCGGAACUGUCAAGCUAGAGUGCAGGAGAGGAAGGUAGAAUUCCCGGUGUAGCGGUGAAAUGCGUAGAGAUCGGGAGGAAUACCAGUGGCGAAGGCGGCCUUCUGGACUGACACUGACACUGAGGUGCGAAAGCGUGGGUAGCAAACAGGAUUAGAUACCCUUGUAGUC